This 46-nucleotide non-coding RNA is filed under the name Schistosoma mattheei. The record is from RNAcentral. Lineage: Eukaryota; Metazoa; Platyhelminthes; Trematoda; Strigeidida; Schistosomatidae.
GCACUUCUGAGGAGUCGCACAAUAGGACGAAACAGUUGUCAAGUGU